Long non-coding RNA from Myxocyprinus asiaticus (Chinese sucker), 1116 nucleotides. RefSeq lists it as uncharacterized. The record is from RefSeq and is a predicted model, not a curated record. The transcript is spliced from 5 exons. Lineage: Eukaryota; Metazoa; Chordata; Actinopteri; Cypriniformes; Catostomidae.
ACAGCAGUAGAUCAGUGAAAAAGAAGAGGAAAAGGAAGAGGUGGAACUGUUAGUUUUAGAAAUACUCUUUCAGAGUGCAAAAAAGAGACAACUCUCGUGUCUUUAACUGCUGGUGAAAAUUAUCAAGAGCUCUUCAAAAUACAGGCAGAUCCACAGGAGCAGGAGUUCAAUCAUCCAUGAUGAAGAACCUCCUGUUCUUUACCGUCUUGAUCAUGGGUCAUGUAGGCGGUGCUAGUGACACUGGGACUGACAUCACAGUAGGAGGUGUCAUUGUUUCAUUUGAAUACCCAGAAAACGCUAAAGAAAGUGAAAAAAGCUUUUGCAAAAUGUCAAAUAACAAGUGUACAACCCUGACAACUCCACAGGAUCAUUUAUGGAUUCCGAAGGAGAGAUUCUCGAUGACUGAUAACAUGACCUUGAAAUUCAUCAGUGUGCUCAUUAGAAACUUGACAAUAAAUGAUACAGGAGAGUACAAAUGUAAAGCAGGAAGGGAAUGGUCUGAGGAUGUGACAUUAAAUGUGCAACAUGAACCCUACAGUGGGCCAUCAGAGGAGCUGACUGCUUAUUUAAGAGGAACUGUUACAAUCAGAUGCAAAUAUCCAGAGAAAUAUAAAGAUUUUUCAAAGCAUUUGUACAAAGUCCAUAAUAGAUCCCUCCAGACUGUUAUUACUGCCAUUGGAGAUUCACACAGACAAGGGAGAUUUUCUCUGAAUGUAGACUCGCAGGAAAAUGUCUUCACUGUGACUUAUUAAUGUGAACAGACGUGAUGAGGGGAUCUAUUUCUGUGGAAUAUGCUACUCAUUGGGCAAAAUUAGCCACAGCUCCCUCUUAACAGAAGUUCAUCUGCAUGUUACAGAUGAUGCAGGUUCAUUGAAGACUAUGACGACACCAAAACCCCGAACAAAAUUUAUCUCCACAAAACAAACAGUAUCUGCACAUUUUACCGUCACCACUCUGACUUCAUCAUCAUCAUCAACACAUUCAUAUGCAGAGUCACUAAAACUGAAAUCAGAUUUUAUUGCGAUAAUCAUGCUGUCGGUUACAGUGACUCUGCUUGUGUUCGGUUUUUCACUCUUUGUGUAUUUUCGACAGAGUCAAGAGAAAAAAGGUAAAGAU